This 2680-nucleotide ribosomal RNA is filed under the name Escherichia coli. RNAcentral's name for it is "partial 23S ribosomal RNA". It matches the Rfam family "Bacterial large subunit ribosomal RNA". The record is from RNAcentral. Lineage: Bacteria; Pseudomonadati; Pseudomonadota; Gammaproteobacteria; Enterobacterales; Enterobacteriaceae.
GAAAAGAAAUCAACCGAGAUUCCCCCAGUAGCGGCGAGCGAACGGGGAGCAGCCCAGAGCCUGAAUCAGUAUGUGUGUUAGUGGAAGCGUCUGGAAAGGCGCGCGAUACAGGGUGACAGCCCCGUACACAAAAAUGCACAUGCUGUGAGCUCGAUGAGUAGGGCGGGACACGUGGUAUCCUGUCUGAAUAUGGGGGGACCAUCCUCCAAGGCUAAAUACUCCUGACUGACCGAUAGUGAACCAGUACCGUGAGGGAAAGGCGAAAAGAACCCCGGCGAGGGGAGUGAAAAAGAACCUGAAACCGUGUACGUACAAGCAGUGGGAGCACGCUUAGGCGUGUGACUGCGUACCUUUUGUAUAAUGGGUCAGCGACUUAUAUUCUGUAGCAAGGUUAACCGAAUAGGGGAGCCGAAGGGAAACCGAGUCUUAACUGGGCGUUAAGUUGCAGGGUAUAGACCCGAAACCCGGUGAUCUAGCCAUGGGCAGGUUGAAGGUUGGGUAACACUAACUGGAGGACCGAACCGACUAAUGUUGAAAAAUUAGCGGAUGACUUGUGGCUGGGGGUGAAAGGCCAAUCAAACCGGGAGAUAGCUGGUUCUCCCCGAAAGCUAUUUAGGUAGCGCCUCGUGAAUUCAUCUCCGGGGGUAGAGCACUGUUUCGGCAAGGGGGUCAUCCCGACUUACCAACCCGAUGCAAACUGCGAAUACCGGAGAAUGUUAUCACGGGAGACACACGGCGGGUGCUAACGUCCGUCGUGAAGAGGGAAACAACCCAGACCGCCAGCUAAGGUCCCAAAGUCAUGGUUAAGUGGGAAACGAUGUGGGAAGGCCCAGACAGCCAGGAUGUUGGCUUAGAAGCAGCCAUCAUUUAAAGAAAGCGUAAUAGCUCACUGGUCGAGUCGGCCUGCGCGGAAGAUGUAACGGGGCUAAACCAUGCACCGAAGCUGCGGCAGCGACGCUGAUGCGUUGUUGGGUAGGGGAGCGUUCUGUAAGCCUGCGAAGGUGUGCUGUGAGGCAUGCUGGAGGUAUCAGAAGUGCGAAUGCUGACAUAAGUAACGAUAAAGCGGGUGAAAAGCCCGCUCGCCGGAAGACCAAGGGUUCCUGUCCAACGUUAAUCGGGGCAGGGUGAGUCGACCCCUAAGGCGAGGCCGAAAGGCGUAGUCGAUGGGAAACAGGUUAAUAUUCCUGUACUUGGUGUUACUGCGAAGGGGGGACGGAGAAGGCUAUGUUGGCCGGGCGACGGUUGUCCCGGUUUAAGCGUGUAGGCUGGUUUUCCAGGCAAAUCCGGAAAAUCAAGGCUGAGGCGUGAUGACGAGGCACUACGGUGCUGAAGCAACAAAUGCCCUGCUUCCAGGAAAAGCCUCUAAGCAUCAGGUAACAUCAAAUCGUACCCCAAACCGACACAGGUGGUCAGGUAGAGAAUACCAAGGCGCUUGAGAGAACUCGGGUGAAGGAACUAGGCAAAAUGGUGCCGUAACUUCGGGAGAAGGCACGCUGAUAUGUAGGUGAAGUCCCUCGCGGAUGGAGCUGAAAUCAGUCGAAGAUACCAGCUGGCUGCAACUGUUUAUUAAAAACACAGCACUGUGCAAACACGAAAGUGGACGUAUACGGUGUGACGCCUGCCCGGUGCCGGAAGGUUAAUUGAUGGGGUUAGCGCAAGCGAAGCUCUUGAUCGAAGCCCCGGUAAACGGCGGCCGUAACUAUAACGGUCCUAAGGUAGCGAAAUUCCUUGUCGGGUAAGUUCCGACCUGCACGAAUGGCGUAAUGAUGGCCAGGCUGUCUCCACCCGAGACUCAGUGAAAUUGAACUCGCUGUGAAGAUGCAGUGUACCCGCGGCAAGACGGAAAGACCCCGUGAACCUUUACUAUAGCUUGACACUGAACAUUGAGCCUUGAUGUGUAGGAUAGGUGGGAGGCUUUGAAGUGUGGACGCCAGUCUGCAUGGAGCCGACCUUGAAAUACCACCCUUUAAUGUUUGAUGUUCUAACGUUGACCCGUAAUCCGGGUUGCGGACAGUGUCUGGUGGGUAGUUUGACUGGGGCGGUCUCCUCCUAAAGAGUAACGGAGGAGCACGAAGGUUGGCUAAUCCUGGUCGGACAUCAGGAGGUUAGUGCAAUGGCAUAAGCCAGCUUGACUGCGAGCGUGACGGCGCGAGCAGGUGCGAAAGCAGGUCAUAGUGAUCCGGUGGUUCUGAAUGGAAGGGCCAUCGCUCAACGGAUAAAAGGUACUCCGGGGAUAACAGGCUGAUACCGCCCAAGAGUUCAUAUCGACGGCGGUGUUUGGCACCUCGAUGUCGGCUCAUCACAUCCUGGGGCUGAAGUAGGUCCCAAGGGUAUGGCUGUUCGCCAUUUAAAGUGGUACGCGAGCUGGGUUUAGAACGUCGUGAGACAGUUCGGUCCCUAUCUGCCGUGGGCGCUGGAGAACUGAGGGGGGCUGCUCCUAGUACGAGAGGACCGGAGUGGACGCAUCACUGGUGUUCGGGUUGUCAUGCCAAUGGCACUGCCCGGUAGCUAAAUGCGGAAGAGAUAAGUGCUGAAAGCAUCUAAGCACGAAACUUGCCCCGAGAUGAGUUCUCCCUGACUCCUUGAGAGUCCUGAAGGAACGUUGAAGACGACGACGUUGAUAGGCCGGGUGUGUAAGCGCAGCGAUGCGUUGAGCUAACCGGUACUAAUGAACCGUGAG